Molecule: ribosomal RNA, 465 nt
Filed under: uncultured bacterium
Lineage: Bacteria
Description: partial 16S ribosomal RNA
Rfam family: Bacterial small subunit ribosomal RNA
Source: RNAcentral
GAUGAACGCUGGCGGCGUGCUUAACACAUGCAAGUCGAACGGAAAGGCUCCUGCUUGCAGGGGUACUCGAGUGGCGAACGGGUGAGUAACACGUGGGUGAUCUGCCCUGCACUUCGGGAUAAGCCUGGGAAACUGGGUCUAAUACCGGAUAGGACGAUGGUUUGGAUGCCAUUGUGGAAAGUUUUUCGGUUUUGGAUGAGCUGGCGGCCUAUCAGUUUGUUGGUGGGGUAAUGGCCUACCAAGGCGUCGACGGGUAGGCGGCCUUGGAGGGUGUACGGCCACAAUGGGACUACGGGAGGGACCAGUAGCCAACCGGCGGCAAUGGGGGGGAACAUGACGGAAUGGGGGCGAGUCUGAGGCGGCGACGCCGGGUGGGGGAUGACGGCCUUCGGGUUGUAAACUCCUGUCGCUAGGGACGAAGCGCAAGUGACGGUACCUGGAGAAGAAGCACCGGCUAACUACGUG